This 467-nucleotide ribosomal RNA is filed under the name uncultured bacterium. Its description in RNAcentral is "bacterial SSU rRNA". It matches the Rfam family "Bacterial small subunit ribosomal RNA", at positions 330 to 795 of the family's 1533-position model. The record is from RNAcentral.
UCCAGACUCCUACGGGAGGCAGCAGUGAGGAAUAUUGGUCAAUGGGCUUACGCCUGAACCAGCCAAGUCGCGUGAGGGAAGACUGCCCUAUGGGUUGUAAACCUCUUUUGUCAGGGGGCAACGCCGGCUACGUGUAGCCGGACUGAGAGUACCCGAAGAAAAAGCAUCGGCUAACUCCGUGCCAGCAGCCGCGGUAAUCCGGAGGAUGCGAGCCUUAUCCGGAUUUAUUGGGUUUAAAGGGUGCGCAGGCGGAGGUGCAAGUCAGCGGUGAAAUUGCGGGGCUCAACCCCGUACGGCCGUUGAAACUGGCGUUCUUGAGUGGGAGAGAAGUAUGCGGAAUGCGUGGUGUAGCGGGGAAAUGCAUAGAUAUCACGCAGAACUCCGAUUGCGAAGGCAGCAUACCGGCGCCCAACUGACGCUGAAGCACGGAAGCGUGGGUAUCGAACAGGAUUAGAUACCCGGGUAUC